ACGGGGUGCAGCAGGCGCGAAACCUUUACAAUGCACGCAAGUGUGAUAAGGGGAUCCUAAGUGCUCAUGCAUUGCAUGGGCUUUUGCCAAGAGUAAAUAUCUUGGCGAAUAAGUGGUGGGAAAGACCGGUGCCAGCCGCCGCGGUAACACCGGCGCCACAAGUGGCAACCACGUUUAUUGGGCCUAAAGCGUCCGUAGCCGGUUCAGUAAAUCUUUUGUGAAAUCGUCGGGCUCAACCCGACGGCGCGCUUGAGACACUACUGAACUCGAGACUGGGAGGAGUUAAAGGUAUUCCGUGGGGAGCGGUAAAAUGUGAUAAUCCUCGGAGGACCACCUAUGGCGAAGGCAUUUAACUAGAACAGAUCUGACGGUCAGGGACGAAGGCCAGGGGAGCGAUCCGGAUUAGAUACCCGAGUAGUCCUGGCAGUAAACGCUGCGAGCAAGAUGUUGCGCUUCUUAAGAGGAUGCGCAGUGCCGAAGCGAAGGCAUUAAGCUCGCCGCCUGG
RNAcentral lists this ribosomal RNA (505 nucleotides) under uncultured archaeon. RNAcentral describes it as "bacterial SSU rRNA". It matches the Rfam family "Archaeal small subunit ribosomal RNA", at positions 325 to 831 of the family's 1478-position model. The record is from RNAcentral.